AACACAUACAAACAUACAAGUGCAAGGGUGAGCUAGGUCUAAAACAAUCAUACAAUUUACUGCAAGAACGUUCAUACACAUUUAAACAUGUACUAGUAUUACCGAGAAUAUCCAUAUACACUCAAGCAUGUAAGUCAUCAUGAACAUAAACAUUUAUUUCAUAGAACUCAUUAAAACAAGCAUCAUAUCAUGUUAAGACUCCUAGACACGUCCGGACAUAGAAUGAAUGUAGAGCUGGGGCGGGUUGUGCACUUGUGAUGGCCCC
This 265-nucleotide long non-coding RNA is filed under the name Vigna radiata. Its description in RNAcentral is "long non-coding RNA (VRAD_LNC000855)". The record is from RNAcentral. Lineage: Eukaryota; Viridiplantae; Streptophyta; Magnoliopsida; Fabales; Fabaceae.